GACGAACGCUGGCGGCGUGCUUAACACAUGCAAGUCGAACGGAAAGGCCCUGCUUUUGUGGGGUGCUCGAGUGGCGAACGGGUGAGUAACACGUGAGUAACCUGCCCUUGACUUUGGGAUAACUUCAGGAAACUGGGGCUCAUACCGGAUAGGAGCUCCUGCUGCAUGGUGGGGGUUGGAAAGUUUCGGCGGUUGGGGAUGGACUCGCGGCUUAUCAGCUUGUUGGUGGGGUAGUGGCUUACCAAGGCAUGGACGGGUAGCCGGCCUGAGAGGGUGACCGGCCACAUUGGGACUGGGAUACGGCCCAGACUCCUACGGGAGGCAGCAGUGGGGAAUAGUGCACAAUGGGCGGAAGCCUGAUGCAGCAACGCCGCGUGCGGGAUGACGGCCUUCGGGUUGUAAACCGCUUUCGCCUGUGACGAAGCGUGAGUGACGGUAAUGGGUAAAGAAGCACCGGCUAACUACGUG
This 468-nucleotide ribosomal RNA is filed under the name uncultured bacterium. RNAcentral's name for it is "partial 16S ribosomal RNA". It matches the Rfam family "Bacterial small subunit ribosomal RNA", at positions 28 to 507 of the family's 1533-position model. The record is from RNAcentral.